UCGCUCUUCAACGAGGAAUCCCUAGUAAGCACAAGUCAUCAGCUUGUGUUGAUUACGUCCCUGCCCUUUGUACACACCGCCCGUCGCUACUACCGAUUGAAUGGCUUAGUGAGACCCUCGGAUUGGUAUUCAGAAGCUUUAACCGGCAUCUGUUUGCUGAGAAGUUGGUCAAACUUGGUCAUUUAGAGGAAGUAAAAGUCGUAACAAGGUUUCCGUAGGUGAACCUGCGGAAGGAUCAUUAAUGAUUUUAAAGCGAGUCGAAGCGUUAAGCGAGGCUUGCGAAAAUAUUUAAAACCCCACUCCUUGAUCUCUUGGCUCUCGCAUCGAUGAAGAACGCAGCGAAAUGCGAUAAGUAGUGUGAAUUGCAUAAUUUUGUGAAUCAUCGAAUCUUUGAACGCAAAUUGCACUCCCUGGUAUUCCGGGGAGUAUGCCUGUUUGAGGGUCGUUAGAAUAAAAAAUCGAGGUGUCGCUCUUUUUUUUAAGGGUGAUCGCGUCGGAAUUGAGCCGUCUUUCAAAUGUUAAUUCAUGUCAAAGUGGCUUGAAAUUCAUCCAUCCGGUACGAUUAAAGCGUAUUUAAGAUCAACUUUGAUUAAGAACGCGCGAUGAACGAACCAUCUCAUGUAGUACGUUUGACUUUGACGUCGUCAGGAUCACUCGUAUACUAAACUCGAACUUUUGACCUCAAUCAGGUAAGAAUACCCCGCUGAACUUAAGCAUAUCAAUAAGCGGAGGAAAAGAAAAUAACAAUGAUUCCCUCAGUAACGGCGAGCGAAGAGGGAUAAGCUCAAAUUUUAAAAUCUGUUGGGUUCCCUUAACAGAGUUGUAUUUUGAAGAAACGAUUUUCUGCAUCCAGGAUUAGCCCUAAAUUCUUUUGGGAUAAAGUAUCAAUGGAGGGUGAGGAUCCGGUUCAUGGUUAAUCUUAAGGAAGCUCUACGAUACGUUUUCAAAGGAGUCGAGUUGUUGGGAAUGGCAGCUCAAAAUGGGGAGGUAAUUUCUCCUAAGGCUAAAUAUGGGCGAGAAGAUCGGAUAGCGAACAAGUACGUGAAAGGUAAAGAAGAAAGACAUUGAAAAUAGAAGAGUAAACGGUUCGUAAAUUGUUGAAGGCAUCGAUGGAGUCAGGUCAUAUACAAACGGGAGAAAUACAACCAUUAGUGACCGGUCUCGUGGUGAAGAGUUUCAAAGCCUUCGGAUUCGCGGGAUUGGGAUCUCUUGGUGUACUCGUACGGUUAGUCAACAUCGGUGGAUGUCAUAUGACUGGAGGAAUGUAGCUUCGAUCUCGUAUUGAAGUGUUAUAGCCUUUGGUAGAUGUGAUGUUUGAGACCGAGGAUUGCAACGGAUACCCUUCAGGGCUAUUCGUCUGAUCUCUGAUACGUUGCCUUGAUGUUGAAAGCUUGCUUAUGAUGUUAGGGUAUUACGGUCAAAAGGUUAGAACGGAUUAGAUUCGUUAAGGAUGUUGACGUAAUGACUUUAAACGACCCGUCUUGAAACACGGACCAAGGAGUCUAACAUAUAUGCGAGUGUUC
This 1523-nucleotide ribosomal RNA is filed under the name uncultured Glomeromycotina. Its description in RNAcentral is "eukaryotic LSU rRNA". The stretch from base 677 to 1523 matches the Rfam family "Eukaryotic large subunit ribosomal RNA", at positions 1 to 695 of the family's 3401-position model. Lineage: Eukaryota; Fungi; Glomeromycota. The record is from RNAcentral.